This is a long non-coding RNA of Scophthalmus maximus (turbot), 2124 nucleotides long. Lineage: Eukaryota; Metazoa; Chordata; Actinopteri; Pleuronectiformes; Scophthalmidae. The record is from Ensembl.
AUGGUUAAACAACAGCGCUGGACGGUGGUCUGUCGUCACCACGUCAGCAGAACCAAACCCUUCAAAGCUGCUUUUGAACCUCGUCCCUCUGAUCUGCAGCGUUUUCCUCGCCGCACUCAAAACCGUAGCAGAGACAAAGACUCGGGAGCGUUGUCGCGCGGGUUCAUUCGGUUUCCUCGUCCUCUCUUGACUCGGUGAAUUGCAUGUCCGUGGUUGGGUGAACCUGUAGUCCUGUCUUUUUUGGUCAAGUGGAAAAAAAAAUGAAUAAAAAAAAAUUUAAAAAAUAUAAUUCUCAAGUCUGCAUCCAUGGCAACUGCGGUCAAUAUUUUCAUCCCAUGUGUCACCGCCGCUCUCUCUCUCCACACCACACGUUCAUUCAAACUAACUUAAAAAAAAAGAUAAUAUGGAAAUUGAUGCAUUCAAAAUUAUAUGUACUUGUAUAAAUGGUGCAACAGUAAUAAAAUGUACGAAAUUGACUGAAACCACGGGAGUUUGUGCAAGUUUUUUUUGUCGUGUGCUUGAGACAAACAAGGGAAAUAUAAAUAUAGUUUUUACUGCCGCAGAAGGAGUUUGAGCUUCAGAUGAAGUGUCGUCUGAUUGAUCUAAACACAACAAUCAAGUUUCUGAUCCAGUUUAAAGUGAAUGGAAGGUCGAACAUUUUGUUUUAAUAGUCUGCAUUAGUGAGGUAUGGAAGAGUAUCAGGGCACAAGAACAAACAAUGAGGGGGAAGAUUUAGUUAUAUUUAUUCAACAUUUUGAAAUGUGGAGAUUAAAGUUGAAAUAGUCCUAAACGUCCGUGUUGUGGUUCCAGUUCAGCUGUCACACGUCCACGUUAGCUAACGUUAGCAAAGCUACGCUAACAGCGAGCCUCUCAAAAUUCACUAACGGUUGUUUGCAGGUGAACGUGGUCGUGUCAGGACGCACGUCGACGUUCAUGUUGCAAACACCCGUCGUCACCACAUCGUCUCUUCCAGAUUCAGCCUGUCAAUAAUAAUAUCGCAACUUUGCAACUUGGUUGUAGCUAGCGUUAGCUUAGCAAACUGGCUAACAAACAUCAACAUCCGGUUGUUUGGUGCUGAAAAGUGCUUCAGGGUCACAAUGUUCGACUUUGUUAUCGAAAUGCAAGAUAUAAAAAAUCUUGAUUAAGACUAACCCUUGAUUCGUCUCUUCCUGAAUCGCUCUCUCGGCUCCUUCCCCCUCUUCUCUCUCUGCUUUUGGUGCGACUGCUCUUUGAAGCCUGCGUGAGGAACCGGUUUCAAAGCGUCCGUGUCAUUUAGCUUCCUGACUGUGCUCAGGUUCUUCACCGGCCUCCAUCGCGCUCCGUCUUCAAAGCUCCCGUUGUUGUGGGGGAGGAUCAGAAACCCUGAGACAAAGAGAGGGAACGAGACGGAGGCGACGCUUUUGUGGGACGAUCAGUCAGAUCCUGCAUCCCGCGGAGAGGAGGGGGCCCCCGGGGGCCGAACGUGGGGAAUCCGCCCGGCGUCGGUUGCUCGGGCGACUGACGGCGACGAUCUGCACCAGGCGUCCGCGUGACGGCGAUCGGACGCGUUUCAGGUCGCAGGAGACGAGACUGUCACGCUGAGCUGGAGAUGUUUCAGCGCCGCUGACACGGAGGCCUCGGGUGAAUCACGGGUCCUGAAACGCAGAGCGUGAGAUGACGAAAUGUGAAGUGAAAUGAAGACGAGCCCUGGGGACGAACCGCCUCCGCUUCAUCGCAGUGAAGUUGGGGAAGAAAAUACAGUAUGUUGAGUUUAAGAGGAAUCAUCAGGUGUAUACAGGGCGUUGAAUGAACGGUGUUGAUCAGUAACUUGGCUAGUGGAUUUUUAAACUUUCCAGCCAAUCAGAUUUUCCACUAGCCAAAUUUUAGCCAAAAAUCAGUGCCACUGAAGAUAUUUCAGCACUUUUUUAGUUUUUUUCCGAACUAUCGUUAACUUUACUACUUAAUUCUUCGGCUCCUUUGUUUUGUUUCGUGUCGUUCCGUUCGUCUUCUUCGUUUCAGCGUAGCUCGCUCGCAAUCGAUACCACGCACGCUAUAGUCACGUAGCUAAACCACACUUCCCUUAUCUGAAUUUCCACACCAGGCUCAGCUAUUUAUUACUUCUCAUACAGGAUUGUAUGAGAAAUU